AGAUCAUUAACAGGCCAGAAACUGAGCCCUCCCUUCCCAAUGGGAAAUAAAGAGGACAAAGAAAGGGAAUGCACAUUAGUGACCAAGCCCAAGGCAAGUUCAUGAGCUCUGCUUCUUCUUUUUGCAUAUAAGGACAGCCUGAAACUCAAACACAGGCAUCACCAAAUCCAUCUCAGAUGAACUCAGAGUGGCUUCUGGAUACUGCAUGUCUAUGUCUGUCUUCUUACCAAAACAACAACACAACUCAGACUCAUUCCUUCAUAGUUGAAUCACGUCAUCAGGAAGACAAAUAGUUCUUUUCUUGUACUGGAAUCAUCAGUGGUGAUUUUUCCUGUGUUGGACAGCAAAUCCCAGCAGCAGAGCCCAUGGUAAAGCCUCAUGGGAUAUGUAGUCUCAUGUUGCCAAUGUGAGAUUAUAGAUCUCUAAGGAAACAUUCAUACUUUAUCCUGAUGCU
This is a long non-coding RNA of Anolis carolinensis (green anole), 454 nucleotides long. RefSeq lists it as uncharacterized. The transcript is spliced from 3 exons. The record is from RefSeq and is a predicted model, not a curated record. NCBI's taxonomy places the organism in Eukaryota, Metazoa, Chordata, Lepidosauria, Squamata, Anolidae.